UACUGAGAUUUCAUUCAUCAUUCUAUCUUUCUUCUUUCUUCACCAUAGCAAUCCUCAUUCUACAAACACAAACCAUUAUCACUGUCACCUCCGCCCGAAGCCACCAUCACAUCCGCCACCUCCUCCUCCUCCUUGUUCCCCACCUUCGCGGACCACAUUCGCAUCCUCCUCCUCCUUGUUCCUCAACCAAAAAUCUAGAUUCGUGAAUGGAGAUGACGCUGGUGAGACUGGAGAUGACGACGACAAAGGUCUCAAACAAACGUAAAUAGGCAUACGAAUCUGGGAGGAGGCACGGAAGCUGCAGAUGACGACGUCUCCGGUCAAGGCUGGAAGAGGAGGAGGCGCAAGGCUCAUGAAGGAGGCGAGGCGGCAGCUGCGUCGAAGGAGGCGCACGGAAGCUGUAGUGGGGGAGACCCUGAGGCUGGAAGCAGAGACGACGGCGUCUCCGGUCAAGGAUGGAGAAGGCCAGGCGCAUUGG
Long non-coding RNA from Raphanus sativus (radish), 478 nucleotides. RefSeq lists it as uncharacterized. The transcript is spliced from 2 exons. The record is from RefSeq and is a predicted model, not a curated record. NCBI's taxonomy places the organism in Eukaryota, Viridiplantae, Streptophyta, Magnoliopsida, Brassicales, Brassicaceae.